This 467-nucleotide ribosomal RNA is filed under the name uncultured bacterium. RNAcentral describes it as "partial 16S ribosomal RNA". It matches the Rfam family "Bacterial small subunit ribosomal RNA", at positions 28 to 506 of the family's 1533-position model. The record is from RNAcentral.
GACGAACGCUGGCGGCGUGCUUAACACAUGCAAGUCGAACGGAAAGGCCCUGCUUUUGUGGGGUGCUCGAGUGGCGAACGGGUGAGUAACAUGUGAGUAACCUGCCCUUGACUUUGGGAUAACUUCAGGAAACUGGGGCUAAUACCGGAUAGGAGCUCCUGCUGCAUGGUGGGGGUUGGAAAGUUUCGGCGGUUGGGGAUGGACUCGCGGCUUAUCAGCUUGUUGGUGGGGUAGUGGCUUACCAAGGCUUUGACGGGUAGCCGGCCUGAGAGGGUGACCGGCCACAUUGGGACUGAGAUACGGCCCAGACUCCUACGGGAGGCAGCAGUGGGGAAUAUUGCACAAUGGGCGGAAGCCUGAUGCAGCAACGCCGCGUGCGGGAUGACGGCCUUCGGGUUGUAAACCGCUUUCGCCUGUGACGAAGCGUGAGUGGCGGUAAUGGGUAAAGAAGCACCGGCUAACUACGU